This 440-nucleotide ribosomal RNA is filed under the name uncultured bacterium. RNAcentral describes it as "partial 16S ribosomal RNA". It matches the Rfam family "Bacterial small subunit ribosomal RNA", at positions 338 to 795 of the family's 1533-position model. The record is from RNAcentral.
CCUACGGGAGGCAGCAGUGGGGAAUCUUUCACAAUGGGCGAAACCCUGAUGCAGCAACGCCGCGUGCGUGAAGAAGUAUUUCGGUAUGUAAAGCUCUUUCAGCAGGGAAGAAAAUGACGGUACCUGACCAAGAAGCCCCGGCUAACUACGUGCCAGCAGCCGCGGUAAUACGUAGGGGGCAAGCGUUAUCCGGAUUUACUGGGUGUAAAGGGAGCGUUGUCGGCAGGGCAAGUCUGGUGUUAAAGUCGGGGGCUCAACCCCCGGACUGUUAUGGAAACUGUCAGGCUGGAGUGCAGGAGAGGUAAGUGGAAUUGCUAGUGUAGGGGUGAAAUGCGUAGAUAUUAGGAGGAACACCAGUGGCGAAGGCGGCUUACUGGACUGUAACUGACGUUGAGGCUCGAAAGCGUGGGGAGCAAACAGGAUUAGAUACCCGAGUAGUC